This 468-nucleotide ribosomal RNA is filed under the name uncultured bacterium. RNAcentral's name for it is "partial 16S ribosomal RNA". It matches the Rfam family "Bacterial small subunit ribosomal RNA", at positions 28 to 507 of the family's 1533-position model. The record is from RNAcentral.
GACGAACGCUGGCGGCGUGCUUAACACAUGCAAGUCGAACGGAAAGGCCCUGCUAUCGUGGGGUGCUCGAGUGGCGAACGGGUGAGUAACACGUGAGUAACCUGCCCUUGACUUUGGGGUAACUUCAGGAAACUGGGGCUAAUACCGGAUAGGAGCCCCUGCUGCAUGGUGGGGGUUGGAAAGUUUCGGCGGUUGGGGAUGGACUCGCGGCUGAUGAGCUUGUUGGUGGGGGAGUGGCUUACCAAGGCUUUGACGGGUAGCCGGCCUGAGAGGGUGGACGGCCACAUUGGGACUGAGAUACGGCCCAGACUCCUACGGGAGACAGCAGUGGGGAGUAUUGCACAGUGGGCGGAAGCCUGAUGCAGCAACGCCGCGUGCGGGAUGACGGCCUUCGGGUUGUGAACCGCUUUCGCCUGUGACGAAGCGUGAGUGACGGUAAUGGGUAAAGAAGCACCGGCUAACUACGUG